RNAcentral lists this microRNA (22 nucleotides) under Oryza sativa (Asian cultivated rice). RNAcentral's name for it is "osa-miR2101-3p". The record is from miRBase by way of RNAcentral. Lineage: Eukaryota; Viridiplantae; Streptophyta; Magnoliopsida; Poales; Poaceae.
AUUUAACUCAAGUGAGCAUUGU